Molecule: unclassified non-coding RNA, 214 nt
Filed under: Hevea brasiliensis (rubber tree)
Lineage: Eukaryota; Viridiplantae; Streptophyta; Magnoliopsida; Malpighiales; Euphorbiaceae
Source: RNAcentral
AAAUCAAAAUUACAACGGAACCAAACUACGCCCUGUCUGACCAGUAGACUAUAAGCCAGGGGCUACAUGCACUUGAGUUGUCAUUAAAUUAGUCCUAAUGAUACAACAAAGAGUCAUUAUCAUCAAUAUGGCUAACGAUUAUAUUUCAUCGCCAUCCACUUGAUGUUCACCAGAUCCAACCCUACCACCUCUUGCCAUUUUGUUGCCAUCUGAU